Molecule: ribosomal RNA, 206 nt
Filed under: uncultured bacterium
Lineage: Bacteria
Description: partial 16S ribosomal RNA
Rfam family: Bacterial small subunit ribosomal RNA
Source: RNAcentral
AGAGUAGGCGGGAUUGCAAGUCCGUUGUUAAAUCUAUCGGCUUAACCGGUAGCUGCGGCGGAAACUGUAGUUCUUGAGUGAAGUAGAGGCAGGCGGAAUUCCUAGUGUAGCGGUGAAAUGCGUAGAUAUUAGGAGGAACACCAGUUGCGAAGGCGGCUCUCUGGACUGUAACUGGCACUGAGGCACGAAAGCGUGGGGAGCAAACA